UGGUAACUAGUGGGCUCUCUGUCAUCUAACCUGCCUCCAUCCCUUUAAGAGGCAAUGCAAAGGCCCUUGGAGCUGAGCAGUGUGAAUGAGCAGUUAGAACCACGUGCAUGCACACUCACAGUGCCCUCUGCUUCAACAACUGGCUGCUGCCAGGGCUUCAGGGGCUGCAGGAGCCAGGAGCGUUGGGAAAAGAUAUGAAGCAGGUGCUGGAUGACAGGCUCGCAGCCAGGCCCAGGCUGGGACUGAAGGUGGAUGUGAAGGAGAAAAUGGCCAGGCUCCACACCUGAGGCAUUUGAGGAUCAUUCAGCUCCAGAAGGUCUGUGUGAGGAAUGCUAUCUCUGCCGUGCUGAAAAUAGGAGGCGCCUACCCUUACCGGUCUUGAUUGCUGCCACCGAAAGGACUGUUUUGCCGCCACCGGAGGAAGAAGAGAUUGCUGCCACCGACAAGCCCGCGAGGUGGGCUCCGGUGGAAGGCGGUGUUCAGCACCACGGACAGCGCCGGCAGCUCCGUCCCCGCACACCGGGGCUGAUCGCUCCCGUAGUGCCACUUCCAUCCUUCCUCCUCCUCCCCACGAAGGGCUUUCUGGUGGGAAUGUGUGGCGGUGCGAAUGGAUGUUUGUUUCUUCUAGUCCUGAGGAUAUAGCAGGAGGACCAUCUCGAUAGCAAAGUGGCAGAGGACUGUCUUGAAAAUACA
Molecule: long non-coding RNA, 693 nt
Filed under: Numida meleagris (helmeted guineafowl)
Lineage: Eukaryota; Metazoa; Chordata; Aves; Galliformes; Numididae
Description: lncRNA (ENSNMEG00000019737.1)
Source: RNAcentral